This 253-nucleotide ribosomal RNA is filed under the name uncultured bacterium. RNAcentral describes it as "partial 16S ribosomal RNA". It matches the Rfam family "Bacterial small subunit ribosomal RNA", at positions 524 to 776 of the family's 1533-position model. The record is from RNAcentral.
UACGUAGGUGACCAGCGUUGUCCGGAUUUACUGGGCGUAAAGAGCGCGCAGGCGGUCGUUCAAGUCGAGUGUGAAAGCCCCCGGCUCAACUGGGGAGGGUCACUUGAUACUGAUCGACUGGAAGGCAGGAGAGGGAGGCGGAAUUCCCGGUGUAGUGGUGAAAUGCGUAGAUAUCGGGAGGAACACCAGUGGCGAAGGCGGCUUCCUGGCCUGUUCUUGACGCUGAGGCGCGAAAGCUAGGGGAGCAAACGGG